UCUAUUUUGCCAUAGGACCACUUCGUACUCUAGGCAGAGACAGAGGCCUGGGGUGUCCAGUUAAAGCCCCUCCGCGUGGAAAGACGAGGUCUAGGAAAAUGGCAGCUCCGACUUAAUCGCUGCAAGAGUUUGUAAAACCAGAGGACCUGGGUUCACUUCCCAGCACCCACAUGGCGGCUUGCAACCUUCCAUGGCUUCAGUUCCGGGGGACCCAAUGCCCUCUUGUGGCCUCUACAGGCCAGGCGCACCCCGUGGUACACAGACAUAAUGCAGAGCCCUUCUUAAAAAAGCCUACAGAACGUAGAAACCAUGGGGACUCUGAGAAGAGCCGUAAGAGACAUUCAAGGAGAAUGGCUGCUGGAAUCGGAGCCUAUGGUUCGAGUCCCCUACACGGCCCAGUGAGCCAUGACAUGAACUGGUGGAGCUGCUGUCUUCAACAGAUCAUGAAGGCUUGAAGAGUCAUCUUAGCGGGGUCCACUGAGAACCCCGAGCUUCAGGGAUCUCCUGAAUCCUCUGGAUUGGGGGAGGGGCAGAGUUUAGAAUUACAUUUGAUUUGACAUGUAGAAAAAAUAA
Peromyscus maniculatus bairdii (prairie deer mouse) is the source of this 573-nucleotide non-coding RNA. Lineage: Eukaryota; Metazoa; Chordata; Mammalia; Rodentia; Cricetidae. The record is from RefSeq and is a predicted model, not a curated record.